AAGAUUCAAUUAUUUCUCAUAGAUAAACUUGAUCAUAAACCCACAAUUCACCGAAUCUCGACAAACACAUCGCAAAAAGAUUUACAUCGAAUAGAUCUCUAAGAAGAUCGAGGAGAACUUGGUAUUGAGAUUCAAGGAGAGAGAAGAAGCCAUCUAGCUAAUAACUAUGGACCCAAAGGUCUGUGGUAAACUACUCACAACUCAUCGGAGAGGCCUUGGAGAUGAUGUAGAGGCCCUCUAUGGUCGAUUCCCCCUCCGGUGGAGCGCCGGCGAAGGCUCCAAAAUGGGAUCUCGUGGAUAUAGAAGGUUGCAGCGGUGGAAUUAGGUUUUCGUGGUGCUCUUGGAUGUUCUCGGGGUACGUGGAUAUAUAUAGGAGGAAGAAGUUGGUCGGUUGAGCCACGAGGGGCCCACGAGGGUGGGGGCGCGCCCACCCCCCUAGGGCGCACCGGGCACCCUCGUGGCCACCUAGUUUUCUGCUUGACGUCCACUCCAAGUCUCCUGGUUUGCAUUUGUUCCAAAAAGAUCGCUUCCGAAGGUUUCAUCCCGUUUGGACUCCGUUUGAUAUUCCUUUUCUUCGAAACACUGAAAUAGGCAAAAAAACAGCAAUUCGGGCCGGGCCUCCGGUUAGUAGGUUAGUCCCAAAAAUGAUAUAAAAGUGUAAAGUAAAGCUCAUAAACAUCCAAAACAGGUAAUAUAAUAGCAUGAAACAAUCAAAAAUUAUAGAUACGUUGAAGACGUAUCAAGCAUCCCCAAGCUUAAUUCCUGCUCGUCCUCGAGUAGGUAAAUGAUAAAAACAGAAUUUUUAAUGUGGAAUGCUACCUAGCAUAAUCCUCAAUGUAAUUUUAUUUAUUGUGGCAUGAAUAUUCAGAUCCAAAUGAUUCAAGACAAAAGUUCAUAUUGACAUAAAAAUAGUAAAACUUCAAGCAUACUAACAAAGCAAUCAUGUCUACUCAAAAUAACAUGGCUAAAGAAAGCUAUCCCUACAAAAUCAUAUAGUCUGGCUAUGCUCUAUCUUCAUCACACAAAGUAUUUAAUCAUGCACACCCUGAUGACAAGCCAAGCAAUUGUUUCAUACUUUAGUAUUCUCAAACUUUUUCGACUUUCACGCAAUACAUGAGCGUGAGCCAUGGACAUAACACUAUAUGUGGAAUAGGAUGGUGGUUGCAGAGAAGACAAAAAAGGAGAAGAUAGUCUCACAUCAACUAGGCAUAUCAACGGGCUAUGGAGAUGCCCAUUUAUAGAUAUCAAUGUGAGUGAGUAGGGAUUGCCAUGCAACGGAUGCACUAGAGCUAUAAAUGUAUGAAAGCUCAACAAAAAAAACUAAGUGGGUGUGCAUCUAACUUGCUUGCUCACGAAGACCUAGGGCGUUUUGAGGAAGCCCAUCAUUGGAAUAUACAAGCCAAGUUCUAUAAUGAAAAAUUCUCACUAGUAUAUGAAAGUGACAACAUAGGAGGCUCUCUAUCAUGAAGAUCAUGGUGCUACUUUGAAGCACAAGUGUGAUAAAAGGAUAGUAGCAUUGUCCCUUCUCUCAUUUUCUCUCAUUUUUUUUCUCUUUUUUUUUCUCUUUUUUUAUUUGGCCUUUCUAUUUUUUUAUAAAGUCAAAGUCUCAUCCCGACUUGUGGGGGAAUCAUAGUCUCCAUAAUCUUUUCCUCACUUGGGACAAUGCUCUAAUAAUGAAGAUCAUCACACUUUUAUUUUACUUACAACUCAAGAUUACAACUCGAUACUUAGAACAAAAUAUGACUCUAUAUGAAUGCCUCUGGCGGUGUACCGGGAUAUGCAAUGAAUCAAGAGUGACACGUAUGGAAGAAUUAUGAAGGUGGCUUUGCCACAAAUACGAUGUCAAGUACAUGAUCAUGCAAAAGCAAUAUGACAAUGAUGAUGCGUGUCAUAAUAUACAGAACGGUGAAAAGUUGCAUGGUAAUAUAUCUCGGAAUGGCUAUGGAAAUGCCAUAAUAGGUAGGUAUGGUGGCUGUUUUGAGGAAGGUAUAUGGUGGGUGUAUGGUAUCGGCGAAAGUUGCGCGGCACAAGAGAGGCUAGAAAUGGUGGAAGGGUGAGAGUGCGUAUAAUCCUUGGACUCAACAUUAGUCAUAAAGAACUCAUAUACUUAUUGCAAAAAUCUACAAGUCAUUGAAAGCAAAGUACUACGCGCAUGAUCCUAGGGGGAUAGAUUGGUAGCAAAAUACCAUCGCUCGUCCCCGACCGCCACUCAUAAGGAAGACAAUCAAUAAAUAAAUUAUGCUCCAACUUCAUCACAAAGCGGUUCACCAUACGUGCAUGCUACGGGAAUCACAAAGUUCAACACAAGUAUUCCUCAAAUUCAUAACUACUUUAACUAGCAUGACUCUAAUAUCACCAUCCUCAUAUCUCAGAACAAGUAUCAAGCAUCAAAUUGAUCAUAGCAUCCAAUUCACUUUCUAUGAUAGUUUUUAUUAUACCCAACUUGGAUGCCCAUCAUUCUGGGACCAAUUUUUAUAACCAUAGCAAAUACCAUGUUGUUCUAUAAGACUCUCAAAAUAAUAUAAGUGAAGCAUGAGAGAUCAACAAUUUCUACAAAAUAAAGCCACCGCCGAGCUCUAAAAGAUAUAAGUGAAGCAGUAGAGCAAAAUUAUCUAGCUCAAAAGAUAUAUAAGUGAAGCACAUAGAGUAUUCUAAUAAAUUCCAAAUCAAGUGUGUCUCUCCCAAAAGGUGUGUACAGGAAGGAUGAUUGUGGUAAACUAAAAAGCAAAGACUCAUAUCAUACAAGAUGCUCCAAGCAAAAUACAUAUCAUUUGGUGAAUAAAAAUAUAGCUCCAAGUAAAGUUACCGAUAAACGAAGACGAAAGAGGGGAUGCCUUCAGGGCAUCCCCAAGCUCAGGCUUUUGGUUGUCCUUGAAUAUAUUGGUGUUCCAUGGGAAUCCCCAAGCUUAGGCUCUUGCCACUCCUUAUUCCAUAGUCCAUCAAAUCUUUACCCAAAACUUGAAAACUUCACAACACAAAACUCAACAGAAAAUCUCAUAAGCUCCGUUAGUGCAAGAAAGAAAAACCACCACAUAAGAUACUGUAAUGAACUCAUUCUUUAUUUAUAUUGGUGUUAAACCUAUUGUAUUCCAACUUCUCUAUGGUUCAUACCCCCCGAUAUUAGCCAUAGAUGCAUCAAAAUAAGCAAACAACACACGAAAAACAGAAUCUGUUAAAAACAGAACAGUCUGUAGAAAUCUGAAACUUUCGAAUACUUAUGGAACUCUAAAAAUCAUACCAAAAUAGUAAGUCCUGGAAAAUUUGUCUAUUGAUCUAGUGCAAAAAUAAUCAACGCAAAAGCACGUUUCUGUGAUUUAUUAAAACUAUUUCCGUGCGUGCAAAAGUUUCUGUUUUUCAGCAGAAUCAAAUUAACUAUCACCAUAGGUUAUCCUAUAGGUUCUACUUGGCACAAACACUAAUUAAAACAUAAAACCACAUCUAAACAGAAUCUAGGUGAAUUAUUUAUUAAAUAACAGCAAGGACAAAUAUUGGGUUGUCUCUCAACAAGCGUUUUUCUUUAAAGCCUUUUAGCUAGGCAUUGAUAAUUUUAAUGAUCCUCACAUGAAAGACAAGAAUUGAAGCCAAAGAGAGCAUCAUGAAACACGUGAAAAACCCACUAAGUCUAACAUACUUCCUAUGCAUAGGCAUAUUAUAAGCAAACAAACUUGUAAGACAAGCAAAAACUAGCAUAUGCAAGGAAGAAGAAAGAGACGAUAGCAAUCUCAACAUGACGAGAGGUAAUUUAAUUAGUA
Molecule: long non-coding RNA, 3752 nt
Filed under: Triticum aestivum (bread wheat)
Lineage: Eukaryota; Viridiplantae; Streptophyta; Magnoliopsida; Poales; Poaceae
Description: long non-coding RNA (TAES_LNC007859)
Source: RNAcentral